Molecule: ribosomal RNA, 508 nt
Filed under: uncultured bacterium
Lineage: Bacteria
Description: partial 16S ribosomal RNA
Rfam family: Bacterial small subunit ribosomal RNA
Source: RNAcentral
GAUGAACGCUAGCUACAGGCUUAACACAUGCAAGUCGAGGGGAAACGAUAUUGGAAGCUUGCUUCCGAUAGGCGUCGACCGGCGCACGGGUGAGUAACGCGUAUCCAACCUGCCCACCACUUGGGGAUAACCUUGCGAAAGUAAGACUAAUACCCAAUGAUACCUCUAGAAGACAUCUGAAGGAGAUUAAAGAUUUAUCGGUGAUGGAUGGGGAUGCGUCUGAUUAGCUUGUUGGCGGGGUAACGGCCCACCAAGGCGACGAUCAGUAGGGGUUCUGAGAGGAAGGUCCCCCACAUUGGAACUGGGACACGGUCCAAACUCCUACGGGAGGCAGCAGUGAGGAAUAUUGGUCAAUGGGCGAGAGCCUGAACCAGCCAAGUAGCGUGCAGGAUGACGGCCCUAUGGGUUGUAAACUGCUUUUAUAAGGGAAUAAAGUGAGUCUCGUGAGACUUUUUGCAUGUACCUUAUGAAUAAGGACCGGCUAAUUCCGUGCCAGCCGCCGCCGUAA